This 5367-nucleotide long non-coding RNA is filed under the name Callithrix jacchus (white-tufted-ear marmoset). RNAcentral's name for it is "lncRNA (ENSCJAG00000083685.1)". The record is from RNAcentral. Lineage: Eukaryota; Metazoa; Chordata; Mammalia; Primates; Cebidae.
AAAGUCUCCAGGGACAUCAGGAUAGCCAGCAUACUGUAUUGUUACUUGUAUUACUUGGUUUUAUCAUAAAAAUCUGUCACAACAGUUGGCUGGUCUGUCAAAGAUUGCCUUAAAUGAACAUUUUAUUCCAGGGAAUUACAAAAUCUUUAUUUAUUUAUGUAUGUAUUAUUUAUUUUCUUCUUUUUUGAGACAGGGCCUCACUCUGUCACCCCGGCUACACUGCAGUGGCUUACUGAAACUUCACAUCCCAGGCUCAAGCAAUCCUCCUCCCUCAGCCUCUCAGCCUCUUCAGUAGCUACAACACAGGUCCCACAGGCUUUGGAUUAUCUGUAUAAACUAUCUCGGCCGGGUGCGGUGGCUCAAGCCUGCAGUCUCAGCACUUUGGGAGGCCGAGUGGACGGAUUGCCUGACCUCAGGAGUUUGCGAUCAGCCUGGGCAACACGGUGAAACUCCUCCUCUACUGAAAAAAAUAAGACAUAAAAUCAGUUGGCCGUGGCGCCGUGCGCCUAUAGUCCCAGCUACUCGAGGCUGAGACAGCAGAAUUGCUUGAACCCGGCAGAUGGAUGUUGCAGUGAGCCAAGAUCAUGCCACUGCCCUCUUGCCUUGGUGACAGAGACUCCGCCCCCGCGCCCCCCCAAAAAGAACAAAAACAAAGCAAAACUAUCUCAAAUGUAUUUGGCUUUACUUAACUCACCUGUAUAGACUUAUAAAUAUAUCAUUACAGAGGAAGCAUGGAAGCCAAGAAGAGCCAAAAUACUAUUGAGUAUAAAUACCGUAUUAUUAGUAAGAAUGCUUCCAAAUAUAUUCCACUAUGGAAUUCAAGCUGUCUUUGGUUUUAAGAUUAUUCUCCUUCAUUCGAUUAUUGGUUUCAUGUUAUUAUUACUGAUUUCACCAUAUUAGAUUUUAUAUUAUUUAAAGUGGAAUGUGUAUCAUGUUCAUCUUUAUAUCUUGUUUUUAUGCAUCAAUAAGAACAUACCUAGAAGAAUGCUUUAUAUACUUUAAGUGCCUAUUCAAUGUGUAUUAUAUAAAGGUGAAUUUCAAUAUAAAUGAACACAUCAAAUAUUUAAUUUUAGUCUUUAAAAAAUUGUUAUUUGUAACAUAGACCAGUGAAAAUAGUUACAUAAAAUAUAUGAUAAUAUAAUAUUUAAUAUUAUAUAUAACAAUAUCAAAUAAAAUUUAAUGUCAGAUCAAAACAACAACAGAAAUUUAUUAGAGUCAGAAUAGAAAUUGAGCAGGGUCAUGUAUCUGGAACACAGAAAAAGUUGUGUUAACAUGCUCCUAGAUUUACUUUGGCAAGGUGUCUUUAUUCUGUUAUUCAUCAUUGAUGAGUGAUUAAUUAAGAGUUGAUGUUUACAGAAAGUAACUUACCUGUGUAGGUCUUAGUAGUCAUGUGGCCCUUCCUUUUACUUUGCGUAUGAAAUGUUCAAUGUAUCUAGAGUAAAGACAAUCAAUUUAAUAAUUUGUCUUGUAGAGCCAAAUAAUUAGAGGUUGACUGGCUACCUAUCUUACUAUCAAUUUCCAUUUUGAUGACAGGAUUUAUAAUUCAGACAGGUUAAGUAAACCUAUAACAUGUGGCUAUCUUAUACUUUCUAUCCCUAAAUUAUGCCAACAGUAUUUGUACAUUUUCUUUUGGAUCUUUCACAUUACCUCAGUUAAAAAACAAAAAGGCAUCAUUAGGAGGAAUAAUAUGGGUGCAUUAAGCAAUGCUGAAAUGGAGACUUGCUGAAGGAUAGCUUAUAUGAGCAUAGCUUACAGAAUAGCUCCCAAGAGUAGUGUUGCAAAAGAUAGAAACUCAGGCAAAUUAUUCUAUAAAUAUUUUAAUACUAAUGAAAAAAAUCUAGAAAUUUGUCCCCUAUUUCUUAGGCAGCAGCCAUAAGUACAGAGCAUAAGGGAACACAAUUCAAGAAACCGUGAACACAAAUUUUGUUAUUCUAACCAUAAACUCAUGAUUUGGCAGUAAAUCUAGUCUUAAAUUUAAAAGGAAAAUUGUAUGAUUUUAUAUGAUUUAACCCUCCCAUAAAAGGUAGAUUCAAGUUAGUACUAUGAAUCGCUAGAUUAAAAUUUCACAAAUGAAUAACAGUUUUGUAAACUGUAAGACACCAUAAAAUCAGAGAUUUAGUGCUUUCAAAUCCUUUAAAAAUUAUCAUUAAUCAUUUUAUUUCAGCAUACUACUACUCAGCUUUAUUCUCUGAAUGAUGAGAUAUUUUCUACACCCACUCAUUUCGAUAUAGUCAUUAUCUAUCUUUUCACCCAAGCUACUAAUCUGGUCAUCACUUUUUACUUCUCCUCCCUUAAUCUCCAAGUUUAACCUGAUAGCUAAACAUCUAAUUUUACCUUUAAGUUGUUUUGUUUUCAAAAUUUUUCUCCUAUUUAUCUUCCAUGACUUAUUAAAUUCCUUUCAAUUUGUAUCUAGCAUACUUUGAUUUCCUUUCUAAUUGGUCUGCUCACUUUAAUAUUGUCUUCACCAAGGAAGAAAAUAUGUCCUUUUAAAUGAUCUGAUUCAGCAUUUCUCAAAACUAUAUUUACAUAGAAAUCACCCGAGAACUUUCAGUGACAGAUUCUGAUUCACUAGAUCUGGAGAAGAGACUGAGUUGCAUUUAAAAGCUCUCACGUGAUGCUAAUGAUGCUGUUUUGCAGAUCACACUCUGAGAAGCAAGACUCUUAGUAAAACCUUAAUUGCUCAUGUUACUCCCUUUCAUGACAUUUAUCACAGCAGCCCAUUGCUGUUGCGAUAUAGUCAACAUACCUUAGAGUGAUGCUUAUUUAGGACCUUCAUCAUCAUAUCCUUACAUUUACCACCAUUUCUUUAAGUGCUCCUCUUUCUCAGUGGCAGGCCUUGGUAUGUAAUCUUCUAAUACCAAACUUGGGGUAUUUCUCCCCAGAAUGUAGUGUCAUGCCUACAUGCAUGUUGUAUUAGUCAGAGUAUGAGAGACAGACCCACUGUGUGUGUGUGUGUGUGUGUGUGUGUGUGUGUGUGUGUAUGAGAGAGAGAGAGGAGGAGAGGGGAGAGAGAGAGGGGAGGGGAGAGAGAAGGGGGGAGGGGAGGGGAGGGGAGGGGAGGAUUUAUUAGGAUAAUUGGCUCAUGUGAUUGUAGAGGCUGAGUAGUUCCAUGACAUGCCAUCCACAAAACUGGAGACCCUGGGAUGUCAGUGUGGCUCAGUCUGAAUGCCUUAGAAUCAGUGAAGCUGAUGGCAUAACUCUUGGUUUGAGGCCAAAGAUCUAAGAACCUAGGGUCAUAUUGGUGUAAAUGUUGGAGUCCAAAGGUAGGAGAGCAUGGAGUUCUGAUAUCUAAUGGCAGGAGAAGAAUAGUAUCUCAGUUCUAGAAGAGAGAGACAAAAUUACCUUUUCUUUGACCUUUUUGUCUUUCGAGCUCCCAAUCAGUUUGAUGGUGCCUACCAUAUUGAGUAUGGAUCUUUCCCACUCAGUCCACCAAUUUACAUGUGAAUUUCCUCUGUGAAUGCCCUCACACACACACCCAGAAGUAAUGUUUUACCAAUUAUCCAGAUAAUCCUUAAUUCAGUCAACUUGAUAUCUAAAUUUAUCACCACACCUGUGGACACACUCUUGGCCCUGUCUAGGUCUUUCUCAUUGACAUUUUCCUCUGUUUUCAAUAAUCACCUUAUUUUUACUUCUUCAAGGAAACAUUCACUGGCAGUUUCAGGCUUGGGUUUACUAUUCUUGUAUAUGUUGCCUUGUCGCUCUGGGUUUAAGUUAUGACAACCACUUACGACUGUUCUGAGACUAUUCAGAAGUAUUUACUUCACUGGUUUAUAAGUUCAAGCCAUGAGUAUUUUCAUCUUUGUAUACCACAGCCCUAGCCAAGGUACUGAUAUAUAAUGAGAAAUGGUAAAUAUUUGCCCAACUCAAUGGAUGAUAUGUGAGUUAACUUCUGGAAUUUGUUCAAAUUAUAUAUGUUGCUGAAGUAUUGCUGGAACAAGCAGGAUAUUUAAUACAAAGUUUUUCACAAUAUUCACUGAUUUACAUAUUCUGUUUUUAUAGCAUUUAGUGAUGUCCCUUUACUGAUUCCUGAUGCUGUCUACUUGUGACUGCUCUCUUUUUUCUCUGAUCUUUUUUUGUCAGAAGUUUAAGAUUUUUAGUUAUGUUUUGGCUAUGUAGAUCAUGUUUGUUUGUUUUCUAUAUCAUUCAUUUCUUUGGUCUUUGAUUUUCUUUAUUAAUAUUUUUCUAUCUUCUUAAGAAUUAUGCUUAAGAUCAAUAAUUUCCAGCUUUAUUUUUUAAAAAUAUUUGUGUUUAAAUCUACAAUUUUUCCUCAAACCAAUUCAUAGCUAGACCUUGCAAAAUGUGAUUUGUAUUUUAUUACUAUUCAGUUCAAAAUAUUUUGUAACUUCCAUUGUGAUUUCUUGUUGAUCCCAAGUUAUUUAGAAUUGCAUUGCUUGCUUUCAGUAUAUGAGAAUAUUUUUCUUAUUAACAUUUUAUUGCUCACUUCAGCUUAAUUUCUCUAUGAUCAAAGAGCAUACUUCGUAUAAUUUUAAUCCUUUUGAAUUGAGAUUUGUGUCAUGGCACAACAAAAGACCAACUUUGAUAAACGAUUAAUGUGAAUUUGAAAAUAAUGUGUAUUGUGCCAUUUCUCUGUGCAUAUUCCUUUCCUUUGUGUCCUAUCAAUAAUGUAAAAGUAUUGUCAAAUACCCUACUACACUGAGAUUUGUCUAUUUAUUACCAAGGGAACAUUGGAUCCAAUUGUCCAGUUUACUUCUCUUUUUCCUCUUCUUCUGAAUCUUUAACCCACAAAUUCUUUGCAUUGGUAGAUCUUCAGUGAAAUCUUUUUUAAAAAGUAAAACAUUUCCUGCAUUUAAAAAUUUAUCUAGUCUAAAAAUUUGCAUAAACAAUCUAUUCAGCCAUUUUUAAAGGCUCUGGAUAGCUCUUUAAAGGUAUAUCAUGCAUAAUUUACUUCCAAAAUGGCAAAGGAUCAAUUUAUGUUUAUUCUUUAUCUUGAAACAGAUUUAGUAUUUCAUCUUCUGGAUGAAAACCUAUUUCCUACAUUUUCAUAUUUUUUCCCUUAAAGUUGUUCUCUUAUAUUUUAUUCAUAUGUGAAGACUGCAUAUAAAGUGUCUGCUUCUUAGGAACUAAAACAUGCCCUCUUCAAAAUGAAAUAAAAUAAAAAUAAACAAGAUUAAAAAAACAUCAAAUAUAAAUGUAGACUAAAUCCCAAUGACUUGGAAACCGAGUGCAAAUUAAAGGACUUUAAGAUAUUUUUAGCAUACUCUAGUGAAAAAAGUACAAAAUAAAUACAAACCAUGUAAUAUAUAUAUAUUUUUCUCUCUGUACACUAACUUUGAGAAGAUUUGAAUCAUAUAAUUGAGAGUAGUUAUACAUUUUUAAGAUUUAUUUUGUAUAUCUGAGAUUUUUCUG